GACGAACCGUCCUAACGUUAUUCGGAUUCACUGGGCUUAAAGGGCGCGUAGGCGGUUUACCAAGUCCGGGGUGAAAUCUUUCGGCUCAACCGGAAAAGUGCCUUGGAUACUGGUGAACUCGAGGGAGGUAGGGGCAUGUGGAACUUCCGGUGGAGCGGUGAAAUGCGUUGAUAUCGGAAGGAACGCCGGUGGCGAAAGCGACGUGCUGGCCCUCUUCUGACGCUGAGGCGCGAAAGCUAGGGGAGCAAACGGG
This 253-nucleotide ribosomal RNA is filed under the name uncultured bacterium. RNAcentral describes it as "partial 16S ribosomal RNA". It matches the Rfam family "Bacterial small subunit ribosomal RNA", at positions 524 to 776 of the family's 1533-position model. The record is from RNAcentral.